GGCCAAACCUCCUGAUCAAAGCCUGACCUCAUCUGAUCUCAGAGGCUGAGCAGAGCUGGGCCUGGUUAGUACUCACAUGGGAGACCACUGGAAAAAAAACAGGUGCC
Molecule: ribosomal RNA, 107 nt
Filed under: Periophthalmus magnuspinnatus
Lineage: Eukaryota; Metazoa; Chordata; Actinopteri; Gobiiformes; Gobiidae
Source: RNAcentral